This 433-nucleotide ribosomal RNA is filed under the name uncultured bacterium. RNAcentral's name for it is "partial 16S ribosomal RNA". It matches the Rfam family "Bacterial small subunit ribosomal RNA", at positions 29 to 507 of the family's 1533-position model. The record is from RNAcentral.
AACGAACGCUGGCGGCAGGCUUAACACAUGCCAGUCGAACGCACCUUUCGGGGUGAGUGGCAGACGGGUGAGUAACGCGUGGGAAUCUACCCUUCUCUACGGGAUAGCUCCGGGAAACUGGAAUUAAUACCGUAUACGUCCUGAGGGAGAAAGAUUUAUCGGGGAAGGAUGAGCCCGCGUUGGAUUAGCUAGUUGGUGGGGUAAAGGCCUACCAAGGCGACGAUCCAUAGCUGGUCUAAGAGGAUGAUCAGCCACAUUGGGACUGAGACACGGCCCAAACUCCUACGGGAGGCAGCAGUGGGGAAUAUUGGACAAUGGGCGCAAGCCUGAUCCAGCCAUGCCGCGUGAGUGAUGAAGGCCCUAGGGUUGUAAAGCUCUUUCAUUGGGGACGAUAAUGACGGUACCCACAGAAGAAGCCCCGGCUAACUUCGUG